UCAAGCGAACAAGUGCAUGUGGUGGAUGCCUUGGCGAUCACAGGCGAUGAAGGACGCGGUAGCCUGCGAAAAGCUUCGGGGAGCUGGCAAACGAGCUUUGAUCCGAAGAUGUCCGAAUGGGGAAACCCACUCCGAAUGGAGUAUCCAUGACUGAAUCCAUAGGUCAUGUGAAGCGAACGCGGUGAACUGAAACAUCUAAGUAACCGCAGGAAAAGAAAUCAACCGAGAUUCCCAGAGUAGUGGCGAGCGAAAUGGGACCAGCCUGUACUCUUUAUUCUUACUGUUAGUCGAAGGCUCUGGAAAGUGCCGCCAUAGCAGGUGAUAGCCCUGUAGACGAAAACAGCGAGGAAGAACUAGGUGUACGACAAGUAGGGCGGGACACGUGAAAUCCUGUCUGAAGAUGGGGGGACCAUCCUCCAAGGCUAAAUACUCGUGAUCGACCGAUAGUGAACCAGUACCGUGAGGGAAAGGCGAAAAGAACCCCGGGAGGGGAGUGAAAUAGAUCCUGAAACCGCAUGCAUACAAACAGUCGGAGCCUCGCAAGGGGUGACGGCGUACCUUUUGUAUAAUGGGUCAGCGACUUACAUUCAGUGGCAAGCUUAACCGAUUAGGGCAGGCGUAGCGAAAGCGAGUCCGAACAGGGCGUUCAGUCGCUGGGUGUAGACCCGAAACCAGGUGAUCUAUCCAUGGCCAGGAUGAAGGUGCGGUAACACGUACUGGAGGUCCGAACCCACUAACGUUGAAAAGUUAGGGGAUGAGCUGUGGAUAGGGGUGAAAGGCUAAACAAACCUGGAAAUAGCUGGUUCUCUCCGAAAACUAUUUAGGUAGUGCCUCGUGUAUCACCUUCGGGGGUAGAGCACUGUCAUGGUUGUGGGGUCCAUUGCGGAUUACUACGCCAUAGCAAACUCCGAAUACCGAAGAGUGCAAUCACGGGAGACAGACAUCGGGUGCUAACGUCCGGUGUCAAGAGGGAAACAACCCAGACCGCCAGCUAAGGUCCCCAAAUAUUGCUAAGUGGGAAACGAAGUGGGAAGGCUAAAACAGUCAGGAGGUUGGCUUAGAAGCAGCCAUCCUUUAAAGAAAGCGUAAUAGCUCACUGAUCGAGUCGUCCUGCGCGGAAGAUGUAACGGGGCUAAGCAAUAUACCGAAGCUGCGGAUGCACAUUUAUGUGCAUGGUAGGAGAGCGUUCCGUAAGCCUGCGAAGGUGCACUGGAAAGUGUGCUGGAGGUAUCGGAAGUGCGAAUGCUGACAUGAGUAGCGAUAAAGGGGGUGAAAGGCCCCCUCGCCGUAAGCCCAAGGUUUCCUACGCAACGUUCAUCGGCGUAGGGUGAGUCGGCCCCUAAGGCGAGGCAGAAAUGCGUAGCUGAUGGGAAGCAGGUUAAUAUUCCUGCACCAUUGUUAAAUGCGAUGGGGGGACGGAUCGCGGAAGGUUGUCCGGGUGUUGGAAGUCCCGGUCCUUGCAUUGGAGAAGGCGCUUAGGCAAAUCCGGGCGCGGAAUUCAAGGGUGCGAGGCCAUUCACUUCGGUGAAGAAGCAAUCGGAAGUGGUUCCAAGAAAAGCCUCUAAGCUUCAGUUUAACAGGACCGUACCGCAAACCGACACAGGUGGGCGAGAUGAGUAUUCUAAGGCGCUUGAGAGAACUCGGGAGAAGGAACUCGGCAAAUUGGUACCGUAACUUCGGGAUAAGGUACGCCCCUGU
RNAcentral lists this ribosomal RNA (1698 nucleotides) under Paraburkholderia kirstenboschensis. Its description in RNAcentral is "23S ribosomal RNA (partial)". It matches the Rfam family "Bacterial large subunit ribosomal RNA", at positions 3 to 1757 of the family's 2925-position model. The record is from RNAcentral. Lineage: Bacteria; Pseudomonadati; Pseudomonadota; Betaproteobacteria; Burkholderiales; Burkholderiaceae.